UUCCCCUAGUAACUGCGAGUGAAGCGGGAAAAGCUCAAAUUUGAAAUCUGGCGGUUUUUGACUGUCCGAGUUGUAAUCUAGAGAAGUGUUACCUGUGCUGGACCGUGUAAAAGUCUUCUGGAAUGGAGCAUCAUAGAGGGUGAGAAUCCCGUCUUUGACACGGACUACCUGUACAUCAUGGUGCGCUCUCGAAGAGUCGAGUUGUUUGGGAAUGCAGCUCAAAAUGGGUGGUAAAUGCCAUCUAAAGCUAAAUAUUGGCGAGAGACCGAUAGCGAACAAGUACCGUGAGGGAAAGAUGAAAAGAACUUUGGAAAGAGAGUUAAACAGUACGUGAAAUUGCUGAAAGGGAAACGCUUGAAGUCAGUCGCGUUGGCUAGAAAUCAGCCCUUGCUUUUGCUUGGUGUAUUUUCCGGUCGACGGGUCAGCAUCAAUUUCGACCAUUGGAUAAAGUCAUUGGGAAUGUGGCAUCUUUUGGAUGUGUUAUAGCCCAUUGUCGUAUACGGUGGUUGGGAUUGAGGAACUCAGCAUGCCGCAAGGCCAGGUUUCGACCAUGUUUUCAUGCUUAGGAUGCUGGCAUAAUGGCUUUAAUCGACCCGUCUUGAAACACGGACCAAGGAGUCUAACAUGCCUGCGAGUGUUUGGGUGGAAAACCCAUGCGCGCAAUGAAAGUGAAAGUUGAGAUCCCUGUAGAGGGGAGCAUUGACGCCCGGACCAGAGCUUUUGUGACGGAUCCGCGGUAGAGCAUGUAUGUUGGGACCCGAAAGAUGGUGAACUAUGCCUGAAUAGGGUGAAGCCAGAGGAAACUCUGGUGGAGGCUCGUAGCGAUUCUGACGUGCAAAUCGAUCGUCAAAUUUGGGUAUAGGGGCGAAAGACU
This 874-nucleotide ribosomal RNA is filed under the name uncultured fungus. Its description in RNAcentral is "eukaryotic LSU rRNA". It matches the Rfam family "Eukaryotic large subunit ribosomal RNA", at positions 75 to 932 of the family's 3401-position model. Lineage: Eukaryota; Fungi. The record is from RNAcentral.